Fundulus heteroclitus (mummichog) is the source of this 308-nucleotide long non-coding RNA. RefSeq lists it as uncharacterized. NCBI's taxonomy places the organism in Eukaryota, Metazoa, Chordata, Actinopteri, Cyprinodontiformes, Fundulidae. The record is from RefSeq and is a predicted model, not a curated record. The transcript is spliced from 3 exons.
UGUAACCCAGGUUUUUGGGGUAAUCCAGUUAUCUCUAAUAGUUAAGGUUAUGUCUCCCUUUCAAUUUUUCAUCCUGUUCACCAAUUUUGUACUAAGUGUGAAAUCCCGUGAGAUUUUGUGGGAUUUUAGUUUUAAAAAGUGGGGCGGUGCCCAUUGUUUGGUCAUGAACAAGGAAAUUGUUUGGUCUCAUGAACAAGGAAGUUCAGGGCUGGCUGUUGCAGUUUCUAGAUGCCUGUACUCUACACUGAAUGGGUAUUCUUAUGGCUUAGAAAUGGGAAGCAAUGAACUGGCCAGGUCCUCAUUUGAUG